AUGGAGCCAUCCACUGGGUUCCGGGCCUCUGUCUGGAGCUGCUUCAAGUUCUUGCCCUUCUUUUGUGGCCUUCUUCUCCUGGGGAUCAUCAAAGGUGUUCUGUUUGGCCCAUGGGCAUGGCUUAUUAUGGCGAUCGGAAUAUCUGCACUCGUUCUGGGAUUAUGGCCUAUGCAUUUGAUUUGGACAUACUACUGCAUCAUCAGAACCAAGCUGGUGGGACCUGUUGUGAAGCUGCUUCUUCUUAUUUCUGUAUCUGGGAUUUUAGUCUUGUGGCUGAUAGUUGGCAUCCUUGGAAGUGUACUUGCUGGGUUAGCAUACGGCUUUCUAGCACCAGUAAUGGCCACAUUUGAUGCACUCGGUGAAGGAAAAGAAAGACCACUGGUUCAUUGUUUUGUGGAUGGAACAUGGAGCACUAUCACAGGAGGCUGUACAGUAGUCAGGGACCUGAAAGACAUGCUAUUCCAUUCAUACCUUGCAUAUAUGGAUGAUCUACGGUACCACGAACCUCCUGGUGGAAAACCAUUUGAAAUAAGAGUGCUUGAUAUUCCUGGCGCAGUACUCGCUGCUGCAUGUGGACUCUUAAUGGAUGGGAUAAUGUUCACAGCAAUUGCCUUGUACAAGUUCCCUGUGAUGCUUUUCAAAGGAUGGAAGCGACUGAUUGAAGAUCUAGUUGGCAGAGAAGGACCUUUUCUUGAGACAGUGUGUGUGCCAUUCGCUGGUCUGGCUAUUCUUCUCUGGCCAUUUGCUGUUUUAGGAGCCUUCCUAGCCUCCAUGAUCUCCAGUGUUCCUCUAGGCGCGUAUGCUGCCAUUGUGGUUUAUCAGGAAUCCUCGCUUUUCAUGGGACUAUCUUAUGCAAUAUCAUCAGUAUCCAUCUUCGAUGAGUAUACAAAUGAUGUACUUGACAUGGCACCAGGAUCUUGCUUUCCUAGGUUUGUAUACCGGAAGAAUCAAGCUUCCGUGGAAAGUGUCCGUGGCCCGCUAUCAAGGCCUGCCUCAUUCAGGGAUAAGCAAGAUGGAAAGAAAGCUCCAGCACGGAUUACAUCAUUUAAGAGUAGCUUUGAUGAGUUCAAUCCAUUUAAGUUGCUAGAUCACCUAUUCGAAGAGUGUCAGCACCGUGGCGAGGCUCUGGUCGCUGAAGGAGUGAUAACACCAAAAGAUAUUGAAGAAACAAAGUCAGGCAAAGGCGGCAGCGGAGUGCUUAAUGUCGGUUUGCCAGCAUAUGUUAUUCUCAAUGCACUCCUACGAUCUGCAAAGGCUGAUUCCGAUGGCCUGAUUCUGAGAGAUGGCUGUGAAAUCACAUCUGACAACAGGCCUAAGAAUACACUAUUUGAUUGGUUCUUUGACCCUCUGAUGGUCAUCAAAGAUCAAAUCAAAGCCGAGAAUUUUACAGAAGAGGAGGAGGCGUACCUUCAGAAACGCGUACUGUUGAUCAGCGACCCGAAGCGCCUCAAGGCCACUCUUCCGCAUUUGCCAUCCCUGAAUGAGCGAAAACAAGCAGAAAUAGAUGCAUUUGCUCGGAGAUUGCAAGGGAUCACUAAGUCGAUAUCAAGGUACCCGACAUCCAAGCGCCGUUUCGAUGACCUUGUCAAAGCGCUUUCUGAGGAGCUUGAGAGGGCAAUGGGUGGCAGCCGAUCUGUCAGUGGAUCACAGUUUCAGAAGCUCAGAAGCGGCCUUGUUCGAAUGCUUAGCCAGAGAUCGAUGGGGAAGACAGCAAGCAUCCGAGGAGGUGAUCAAGAGGCGCAGCUCACAAGCGACACUCGUGCUGCAUAA
Molecule: ribosomal RNA, 1770 nt
Filed under: Triticum aestivum (bread wheat)
Lineage: Eukaryota; Viridiplantae; Streptophyta; Magnoliopsida; Poales; Poaceae
Description: partial small subunit ribosomal RNA
Source: RNAcentral